CACAAGCGGUGGAGUAUGUGGUUUAAUUCGAUGCAACGCGAAGAACCUUACCUGGUCUUGACAUCCCGGAGACCCUUAGGAAACUAGGGGGUGCCUUCCAUCUGGAAGAAUCUGGAGGCAGGUGCUGCAUGGCUGUCGUCAGCUCGUGUCGUGAGAUGUUGGGUUAAGUCCCGCAACGAGCGCAACCCUUGCCUUUAGUUGCCAGCAGUUCGGCUGGGCACUCUAAAGGGACUGCCGGUGUUAAACCGGAGGAAGGUGGGGAUGACGUCAAGUCCUCAUGGCCUUUAUGACCAGGGCUACACACGUACUACAAUGGCCGAUACAAAGGGCAGCGACACUGCGAGGUGAAGCCAAUCCCGUAAAAUCGGUCUCAGUCCGGAUUGGAGUCUGCAACUCGACUCCAUGAAGUUGGAAUCGCUAGUAAUCGUGGAUCAGCAUGCCACGGUGAAUACGUUCCCGGGCCUU
This 465-nucleotide ribosomal RNA is filed under the name uncultured Desulfobulbus sp. RNAcentral describes it as "bacterial SSU rRNA". It matches the Rfam family "Bacterial small subunit ribosomal RNA", at positions 924 to 1382 of the family's 1533-position model. The record is from RNAcentral. Lineage: Bacteria; Pseudomonadati; Thermodesulfobacteriota; Desulfobulbia; Desulfobulbales; Desulfobulbaceae.